GAACAUAUGUGCAUGUUGCUCUGGGGCUCCCAGAUCUUCAUCUCAGAUAUUCUGGGUGGUCCCAGGGCUUGUGCGUGCCCCCAGCCAGCGAAACCCCUUGCUGCGGGACGUUGUGGACACGGAACAGCUUGGAGGUGACCAGGUCAUGAAGGAAAAAGCAUUUGAAGGUUACGAAGUGCAAAGAUGCAUCCAGCUCAGGAGGUCCUGGAAGCUGGAGCCCAGAAAGGAUUUCGGGACUGUGUCCCUCCACCCUGGUCCUGCUCUUGUGACGCUUCUUCAGGCAUCUGCUGUGGUUGAUGGCAGACGAGACCGUGGGGCAAUCGGACCUUCGUGCUUGUCCCUGAGACCUCUCAUUGGUAGCCUGGCCAUGUUUCGGCAGGAGUCCACGUGUCUGCAUGAUCGGCACGCAGCCGGCAGCUGGGAUUGUACGUCGGGAGAAUAUUUGGCCACAGAUGCGAAGUGAGUUGCAGGACUUCAUUCAGGGCGGUGAAUGCGAGGAGAGGAGAACAAAAAAAGGAGGAGAGAGUGGAAUACAGAUGAUGACUGCCAGGAGCUUCUGCCACUGGAGUCCAUGGCGUACACCGUGACUCCCACGCCAGCGGGGCCCGUCGGCUCCCAGUACUGUGUCUGCAAAGUCGAGUUGUCCGUCUGCGGCCAAAACCUUCUGGACAGGGAUGUCACUUCCAAAUCUGACCCCUUCUGCGUCCUCUUCAUGGAAGUCAAUGGGAAGUGGAUGGAGGCUGGUCCUCGUUCGUCCCCACGCAGAGGUGGAAGCUCUUCUGGUCCUCCCGAGGCUGUGUGCGUGGUGCCGCUUGACAGGACAGAGACAGCUGUGAACAACCUCAACCCAGCUUUUGCCAAGAAGUUCAUCAUCGACUACCACUUUGAAGAAGUGCAGAAGCUCAAGUUUGCCCUGUUUGACCAGGACAAGUCGAGCAUGCAGCUGUAUGAGCAUGACUUCCUGGGUGAAUUCUCCUGCACGCUGGGCAUGAUCGUCUCCAGCAAGAAAAUAACAAGGACCCUCCUUCUGGGGAAUGGCAAGCCGGCUGGAAAAGGGAUGAUAACGAUAGCUGCCCAAGAGCUCUCGGAUAACAGGGUGAUUACUCUGAGCAUGGCUGGCAGAAAACUGGAUAAAAAGGACCUGUUUGGAAAGUCAGACCCCUUCUUGGAGUUUUAUAAACCGGGUGACGAUGGGAAAUGGAUGCUGGUCCAUAGAACGGAGGUGAUCAAGUACACACUGGACCCCGUCUGGAAGCCGUUCACUGUGCCUUUGGUGUCACUGUGCGAUGGAGAUGUAGAGAAGCUGAUAAAGGUGAUGUGUUAUGACUAUGACAGUGAUGGGGGACAUGACUUCAUCGGGGAGUUUCAGACCUCGGUGGCCAGGAUGUGCGAAGCCCAAGAUGCCUUUCCACUCGAGCUAGAGUGCAUUAACCCCAAAAAGCAGAAGAAGAAAAAGAAUUACAAGAACUCUGGGAUCAUCAUUGUCAAGUCCUCCAAAGUAACCAGAGAUUUCUCCUUCCUGGACUACAUCCUGGGAGGCUGCCAGCUAAUGUUUACUGUUGGGAUUGACUUCACAGCCUCCAAUGGGAACCCACGAGACCCCUCCUCUUUGCACUAUAUCAACCCCAUGGGGACAAACGAGUACUUGUCGGCUAUCUGGGCUGUCGGCCAGAUCAUCCAGGACUAUGACUCAGACAAGAUGUUUCCUGCUCUGGGAUUUGGCGCCCAGCUCCCGCCAGACUGGAAGGUGAAGUGUUGUGGCCAUCUGUAUCCCAUGAGUUUGCCAUUAACUUCAAUCCCACAAACCCGUUCUGUUCAGGUGUGGAGGGCAUCGUCCAAGCGUACUCAGCCUGCCUGCCCCACAUCCGCUUCUACGGACCCACCAACUUCUCCCCCAUUGUCAACCACGUGGCCCGCUUCGCAGCUCAGGCCACCCAACAGGAGGCUGCAUCCCAAUACUUCAUCCUCCUCAUCAUCACGGAUGGGGUGAUCAGCGACAUGGAUGAGACAAGACACGCUGUGGUGCAGGCAUCCAAGCUGCCCAUGUCCAUCAUCAUCGUGGGGGUGGGGAACGCCGACUUUGCUGCCAUGGAGUUCCUGGAUGGGGACAGCCGGGUGCUGCGCUCCUACACCGGCGAGGAGGCCGUGCGCGACAUCGUCCAGUUCGUGCCCUUCCGGGAUUUCCGCAACGCCCCCAAGGAGACCCUGGCCAAAGCUGUGCUGGCAGAGCUGCCCCAGCAAGUCGUGCAGUACUUCAAGCACCAAAACCUGCCGCCCAUCAACUCGGAGCCCGCGUAGAGCUGUGCCAGGCUGUGCCCUCUGCAUGUUGCUGAAGCCUGUCGGUCCUACCGAAAACGCAUGUUCCACAUGCUUUUAAGAGAAUACCCUCCCUGAAAUACUUUGUACUCCUUAAUUUAAUUGCCAAGUUCUUAAAACUCAUCCCAGAGAAGCUGGAUUCAUUUUGUACAGUCCUGGCCCGAGGUAACACUAAGCGGCCAGGCCAUGCCCUGGUCCUGCUCUGUUGAGUCACUUUUCAGUAUUGAAUGUACUUUGUAUAAUUUCAGUGGAACAGGAUACAAUUUUUACAAUCAAAACUUGCUUUUUCCAAGCAAUGAAAUGCUUAAUAUAUUAUUAUUAUUCAAUGAACUGGUCAUUGUAUAGUUCAUGUAUCUGUGUUGUUGUACCUGUACAUCUGUCAUGCUCUAUGUUCAUUUUUAUACUGUGUACAUGUUAUAUUUGUUAUACUCAGGUUAAUAAAGGAACUUGGACAUUUAAAACAAGGGACUCCCAGAUGGGAAGGUCUGGGGGCACCUUACAUGGUCA
Molecule: RNA transcript, 2823 nt
Organism: Harpia harpyja (harpy eagle)
Lineage: Eukaryota; Metazoa; Chordata; Aves; Accipitriformes; Accipitridae
Gene: CPNE2
Gene name: copine 2
Exons: 17
Source: RefSeq, a predicted model, not a curated record